Molecule: non-coding RNA, 138 nt
Organism: Caenorhabditis elegans
Lineage: Eukaryota; Metazoa; Nematoda; Chromadorea; Rhabditida; Rhabditidae
Source: Ensembl
CGGAAGGUGUCCUUGCUUGUCAACAGGUCCUUUAACCCAUUACUCGUGCCGCUCCAUACUCCCUUUCAUUUUUUCUCAUUUCUCCGACUUGGUUUACGCAACAUCCUUCCUCUUCUAAUGGGGUAACUUCCACCGGUA